CCCUUAGAUGUUCUGGGCCGCACGCGCGCUACACUGACGAAUGCAACGAGCUUAUAACCUUGGCCGAAAGGUCUGGGUAAUCUCCAAAUUUCGUCGUGAUGGGGAUAGAUUAUUGCAAUUAUUAAUCUUCAACGAGGAAUGCCUAGUAAGCGCAAGUCAUCAGCUUGCGUUGAUUACGUCCCUGCCCUUUGUACACACCGCCCGUCGCUCCUACCGAUUGAAUGGUCCGGUGAAGCGCUCGGACCGCGGCCUCUUGACGGUUUUCCGUCGAUUGGCUGUGGGAAGUUCGUUAAACCUUAUCAUUUAGGGGAAGGAGAAGUCGUAACA
RNAcentral lists this ribosomal RNA (327 nucleotides) under uncultured eukaryote. RNAcentral's name for it is "partial 18S ribosomal RNA". It matches the Rfam family "Eukaryotic small subunit ribosomal RNA", at positions 1470 to 1796 of the family's 1831-position model. The record is from RNAcentral.